AACUUAUCAAGAAAGGCUGAGGGUUAUGGCCCGUUGAAGCCUUGACAACCUCCCUGCUGGCGCAGCCACAGGAAAGGUGCCAAUUCCAUCCCAUUUGUAUCAGUAUACUGAGCAAUGGGGCAGAUAAGUC
RNAcentral lists this non-coding RNA (130 nucleotides) under Sphingobacteriales bacterium. RNAcentral's name for it is "SAM-I sequence". It matches the Rfam family "SAM riboswitch aptamer (S box leader)". Rfam says of the family: The SAM riboswitch is found upstream of a number of genes which code for proteins involved in methionine or cysteine biosynthesis in Gram-positive bacteria. The SAM riboswitch acts at the level of transcription termination control. The predicted structure consists of a complex stem-loop region followed by a single stem loop terminator region. Lineage: Bacteria; Pseudomonadati; Bacteroidota; Sphingobacteriia; Sphingobacteriales. The record is from RNAcentral.